This 153-nucleotide non-coding RNA is filed under the name Primorskyibacter flagellatus. Its description in RNAcentral is "Pseudooceanicola flagellatus Ruegeria cis2 sRNA". It matches the Rfam family "Ruegeria cis2 sRNA". Rfam says of the family: Cis-encoded. The record is from Rfam by way of RNAcentral. Lineage: Bacteria; Pseudomonadati; Pseudomonadota; Alphaproteobacteria; Rhodobacterales; Roseobacteraceae.
GUUGGAGUUACGCGGAUUGUAGUUGAUGAAAGCAUAGCCUCGGGAUUGGUCGAUGGCAUGGAACAACGGGUUCCAGUCGAAAAGUUUCAGCAUCGCUGGCGGCAGGGUGUUGGCCACGAACAUCUUGCCCGAAGCAAUCAUGUUGGCGCGUUG